AUUGAACGCUGGCGGAAUGCUUUACACAUGCAAGUCGAACGGCAGCACGGACUUCGGUCUGGUGGCGAGUGGCGAACGGGUGAGUAAUGUAUCGGAACGUGCCCAGUCGUGGGGGAUAACGUAGUGAAAAUUACGCUAAUACCGCAUACGAUCUAUGGAUGAAAGCGGGGGAUCGCAAGACCUCGCGCGAUUGGAGCGGCCGAUAUCAGAUUAGGUAGUUGGUGGGGUAAAGGCCACCAAGCCAACGAUCUGUAGCUGGGCUGAGAGGACGACCAGCCACACUGGAGCGGGAACACGGUCCAGACUCCUACGGGAGGCAGCAGUGGGGAAUUUUGGACAAUGGGCGAAAGCCUGAUUCAGCCAUUCCGCGUGCAGGAUGAAGGCCCUCGGGUUGUAAACUGCUUUUGUACAGAACGAAAAGGUUUCUACUAAUACUAGGAGCUCAUGACGGUACUGUAAGAAUAAGCACCGGCUAACUACGUGCCAGCAGCCGCCGUAA
This 499-nucleotide ribosomal RNA is filed under the name uncultured bacterium. RNAcentral describes it as "partial 16S ribosomal RNA". It matches the Rfam family "Bacterial small subunit ribosomal RNA", at positions 30 to 523 of the family's 1533-position model. The record is from RNAcentral.